GACGAACGCUGACGGCGUGCUUAACACAUGCAAGUCGAACGAAGUGGCGAACGGGUGAGUAACGCGUAAUCAACCUGCCCUUCAGAGGGGGACAACAGUUGGAAACGACUGCUAAUACCGCAUACUGAAGGUGGGGCUUGCGUCUGAUUAGCUAGUUGGAGGGGUAACGGCCCACCAAGGCGAUGAUCAGUAGACGGUCUGGGAGGAUGAACGGCCACAUUGGGACUGAGACACGGCCCAGACUCCUACGGGGGGCAGCCGUGGGGACUCUUCCGCAAUGGACGGAAGGCUGACGGAGGAACGCCGCGUGGGUGAUGACGGCCUUCGGGUUGUAAAGCUCUGUUAAUCGGGACGCGGUACCGGAAUAGAAAGCCACGGCUAACUACGUGCCAGCCGCCGCGGUAAUUC
Molecule: ribosomal RNA, 408 nt
Filed under: uncultured bacterium
Lineage: Bacteria
Description: partial 16S ribosomal RNA
Rfam family: Bacterial small subunit ribosomal RNA
Source: RNAcentral